GAUGAACGCUAGCGAUAGGCCUAACACAUGCAAGUCGAGGGGCAUCACAUGAAGUAGCAAUACGGAUGGUGGCGACCGGCGCACGGGUGAGUAACACGUAUGCAACCUGCCUUCAACAAGGGGAUAACCCGUUGAAAGACGGACUAAUACCCUAUAACACAGGGGUCCCGCAUGGGAAUAUUUGUUAAAGGACAACCGGUUGAAGAUGGGCAUGCGUUCCAUUAGCUAGUUGGCGGGGUAACGGCCCACCAAGGCAACGAUGGAUAGGGGAACUGAGAGGUUUAUCCCCCACACUGGUACUGAGACACGGACCAGACUCCUACGGGAGGCAGCAGUGAGGAAUAUUGGUCAAUGGACGCAAGUCUGAACCAGCCACGUCGCGUGAAGGAAGACGGUCCUACGGGUUGUAAACUUCUUUUGUAAGGGAAUAAAGUGUAGUACGCGUACUAUUUUGCAUGUACCUUACGAAUAAGGAUCGGCUAACUCCGUGCCAGCAGCCGCGGUA
This 505-nucleotide ribosomal RNA is filed under the name uncultured bacterium. RNAcentral's name for it is "bacterial SSU rRNA". It matches the Rfam family "Bacterial small subunit ribosomal RNA", at positions 28 to 522 of the family's 1533-position model. The record is from RNAcentral.